GCGUCGAUAUGUCUAGUGGCGAUGACAGCGGUCUGUAAAACCGUAACAAUGAUACACCGUAGGUUCGACUCCUACUCGGCGCACCA
Molecule: transfer RNA, 86 nt
Filed under: [Clostridium] innocuum
Lineage: Bacteria; Bacillati; Bacillota; Clostridia; Eubacteriales; Clostridiaceae
Description: tRNA_Tyr_GTA
Rfam family: tRNA
About the family: Transfer RNA (tRNA) molecules are approximately 80 nucleotides in length. Their secondary structure includes four short double-helical elements and three loops (D, anti-codon, and T loops). Further hydrogen bonds mediate the characteristic L-shaped molecular structure. tRNAs have two regions of fundamental functional importance: the anti-codon, which is responsible for specific mRNA codon recognition, and the 3' end, to which the tRNAs corresponding amino acid is attached (by aminoacyl-tRNA synthetases). tRNAs cope with the degeneracy of the genetic code in two manners: having more than one tRNA (with a specific anti-codon) for a particular amino acid; and 'wobble' base-pairing, i.e. permitting non-standard base-pairing at the 3rd anti-codon position.
Source: RNAcentral